Molecule: long non-coding RNA, 387 nt
Filed under: Gallus gallus (chicken)
Lineage: Eukaryota; Metazoa; Chordata; Aves; Galliformes; Phasianidae
Description: long non-coding RNA NONGGAT002562
Source: RNAcentral
CAAAACCGGUGUGCGCUGGGGCAGCAAACAUUGCAAAUAUAGAAAUUUUCUCUGUACAAUUAACGACUUCGGUUUACAAUGCAAUGUGUGGUAAAACCUCUCAGUGAGUGAAAAUGUGAACGGGCCUUCAACUGGGUGAAAGUCUAAACUGGAAGACUCCGUUUGCAAAAACAGCCCAAAGGAUGGAUCUCCUUCUGGUCUCUUUUUGGUUUUUUGUUGCUGUUUUUGUUGCUGUUGAUUUUUGGAAGGGUAGGAAGAAAGAACACAAACUGUUCACAAAGAAUCCACAAAAUCACGGAAUAGGGACUCAUGCAAUGCAGUACUGGGGAACGCCAGACCUCCGCUCUCUGCCCGCUGCUCCUCUUUCUUUUCAUAUUUGAUUUUUUC